This is an RNA transcript of Octopus bimaculoides (California two-spot octopus), 2853 nucleotides long. It is a transcript of the gene named protein FAM114A2, with no coding region annotated. Lineage: Eukaryota; Metazoa; Mollusca; Cephalopoda; Octopoda; Octopodidae. The record is from RefSeq and is a predicted model, not a curated record.
AUGCGCACAGUUAUCUCGUUUAAGUGAGUGACUACAACGACGACGACGACGUGUCUUCUGCUGGGAAAUCACUGUUGUUAUUAUUAUUGUUGAUACUUCAUUCACCAACAUUACAUGUAGUAAUCUCCUGCAUUGACGGUGAAUAAUUUGGUUGAAAGAUUAUAGCUAGUGAAUUUGAACCAUGUCUGAUUCUGAAGAUGAUGGAGCCUUUGCUAGUGCUGGUGAAGGUGACGACAUACCUGUGUCACACACUAGCAAGAAAGGCCAACUAACACCCCAAACAAGCAGUGGCAAAAAUGACAAUAAAAACUCUAAAGGCAAAAAUAAGAAAAACCAACAAAAAAAGAAAGGUAAAAUGGCUAAGUCAACUGAUGAAGAAAUUGCCGAUAAAUUUAUGAACUCUUUUGAGAGCUCUGAUAGCACCAUUUCCAGUGAAAUGACCACACCACAGGUUGAUAAUGUACAGUUACCUAAACCUGAUAUGGAAGAUGUUCGAAUCACCGAUGAAAGUGAUGACAAUCGUAUGAAAAGUAACUUCUCCGAGGAAGACGACCAGAGUGAUGUUUUACAGGACUGUAACCUGAAGAGACUGUCUUUAUCUUUAGAUAACAAAGAAGAGAACAAUAAAGAAACUCUUCCUGACAAAAAUACUGCCACAAAAGAAAACCAAGAAAAAUCUGGAAAGACAUCAAGCUGGGGAUGGGGAAGCUGGGGAUCAUCUUUCAUUGGGGCAGCAGCUUCAUCUGUUUCCACAUUUACGUCUCAGAUAGGUGAUGGUGUCAAUACCAUUAUCGAUACUGUGGAGACUGGUUUGACUAGUGUACCUUCACCUGAAGAAAUGGCCAAAGAAGCAAAAGAAAUGGAAAAUCUACCUGAAGCAAAAGAGAAAGAAGGAAAGAAACCAGAAGACAAAACUGAAACUUUGCCUCCUGAAGAAAACCCUGAUGUUGGAGAAGGAGAGGAAGGAGAAGGGUCAAAAUCAGAGAAUCAAGGUAUCGGUGGUUGGCUAUCUGGUUGGGGAGUGUCCAAGAUUACUGGGGCAGUUCAAGAAAAGAGUAAAAACAUUGUUACAGGAAGCCUUGAUGUGUUAGAAAGUUUAGGGAGGAAAACAUUUGAUGCAAUCAAUGAACAUGAUCCAGUAGGAAUCAGGGAUAAAACCAAAAUGUUAUUCGAGAGAGGUGAUUCACCACAGCUUGCUGAUCUGCUGAAGGAAGCUAAAGAGAAAUCAGAAAUGGAGGAAAAAAUUGCUCAAGAAACUACCGAAGCAUUGAAGUUUGAUUUUGGAGCUUUGUUUGAAGAUUACCAAGGGCAAGCUCAUAUGGAUGCUUUACGGUUGCUCUCUCAACAAAGUGAAGCUAAGUUAAGUGCAUUGCUUGAAUACCACUCUUCUAAUGCUGGCAAGGAAGAAGAAGAAGAAGAAGCCAUGAAAAACGAACUUCUAAAAGUGAGGGAUGCUUUUGAAGUGGCUAUAGAAGAUGAAGAAGAUUUUGAUAAAGACCACUUGUUUGUUGGUCUUGUUACUGAGCAUUUAUCAGAUGUCCACCUGGGAGCUCAACCAGACAAACUUAAUAAGUGUCAAGCCAACGCAAGGCAAUGGAUCACGGAGUUUUUUGAAACUCAUUCAACAGAUGAAGAGAAGAAGGCAGCUGAUCCCAAGGAAAUUUACACAGUUGCAAUCCAGUCAAUGGCUGAACUGACAGCCAAAAUAAUUGAACAGUUCCACAAAGCUGGGGAACUGAUUCUUUUGCAAAGUGAUGUUGAACGAAGUGUUGAAGAUCGUGCCAAAAACCUUGCCAGUUUGACUAAAAUAUUCUGGACUGAAAUUAACAUUCUAUCAACCAAAUUCGCCAAAUGUCUCAAUACAGUCAUUGCUGAAGAAGAGAGUGAAAAGAAGUCUGUCAACCAAUACAUAACUAAUGUUUAUCUUGAAGCAUCAAAUAGCAGUUCAUAUAUUGAUGAAGGCUUCCGGGCACUUUUACCCAUAAUGCAAUUGGCUCUACUUGAGAAGUCAUCAGCGUCGUAAAGUGCAUGCUGCAAACAGUAGCCAAUAAACUGAUCUUCAACCACCGAAUAGUAAUUUUAAAUUUAAAAAAAAAGAAAUAAGAACAAAAAGCACCCUCAAUCAUUGAAUAAUUGGAUCAUGCACCUAAAUAAGAAGUCGAUGCAAAUGUUUGAUUAAACUGUGAAACUGUAUCCACCCACCAACUGCUUUACCAAUCAAAAAAUACUGUCUCAUAUUCUAUAUAUCAUAUUAUAACUUGUUUUAUUACUGCUACGUAGGAGUGUUGGCCUUACACAAAUCCAUUUUUAACUUUGCAAAGAGGUGACCCAUAUUAGUCUGGCCUCUAUCCACUAACCUGCCCAGAAUGGAAGACCCUACCAGGAACUUGCACUCUGCUGGCUUAGCUCUUAGGCUCACUGAGACACACAAACCACCACACCACAAGGACUGGACCUUGUGGUAGAACAUGUCAGCCAGCCAGCCAAUAAAGAACCUCUACAUAGCCAUUUAACAUGUUAGGAAUAGCAGCCAACCCCACUCAAAUUACAACCUACCAUCUUGAAAAGAAGAGGACACAAUCUAAUACCUAGAUAAGCAAUCUCUAAGAAAAGACCAAAGGUGUUCUAUUGCUAGAACACCAGGUCUGCUCAGUUAAGCUAAUCUGAGGCUAGACAACAAUAGGCUCUUGGACGUCUUUAGGGGACUCAACCCUGCUACAAGCAUUCAGAUCAGGUCUCUGGUUUGAGGAUAACUCAAUUUCUUGCUGUGCUACUUCCUUCUGAAGCAACCCAACCAACCCAUGAUUUCCCUUACCUGACAAACUAUAUAUAAAAAAAUUGUAUGCACCAGUA